AUGCACGCUGGCGGCGUGCCUCAUCCCUGCAAGUCGCGCGCACGGACGAGAAGCUUGCUUCUCUGAUGUUAGCGGCGGACGGGUGAGUAACACGUGGAUAACCUACCUAUAAGACUGGGAUAACUUCGGGAAACCGUAGCUAAUACCGGAUAAUAUUUUGAACCGCAUGGUUCAAAAGUGAAAGACGGUCUUGCUGUCACUUAUAGAUGGAUCCGCGCUGCAUUAGCUAGUUGGUAAGGUAACGGCUUACCAAGGCAACGAUGCAUAGCCGACCUGAGAGGGUGAUCGGCCACACUGGAACUGAGACACGGUCCAGACUCCUACGGGAGGCAGCAGUAGGGAAUCUUCCGCAAUGGGCGAAAGCCUGACGGAGCAACGCCGCGUGAGUGAUGAAGGUCUUCGGAUCGUAAAACUCUGUUAUUAGGGAAGAACAUAUGUGUAAGUAACUGUGCACAUCCUGACGGUACCUAAUCAGAAAGCCACGGCUAACUACGUG
RNAcentral lists this ribosomal RNA (496 nucleotides) under uncultured bacterium. Its description in RNAcentral is "partial 16S ribosomal RNA". It matches the Rfam family "Bacterial small subunit ribosomal RNA", at positions 29 to 507 of the family's 1533-position model. The record is from RNAcentral.